Molecule: long non-coding RNA, 425 nt
Filed under: Serinus canaria (Common canary)
Lineage: Eukaryota; Metazoa; Chordata; Aves; Passeriformes; Fringillidae
Description: lncRNA (ENSSCAG00000007616.1)
Source: RNAcentral
CGGGUGGAACGGGGACCAAGGCGGGGAACAGGGAAGUUCUUCCCGGCCGCGUUUCCGUGCGAGGCCGCUCCGCCUCAGAGCGCUGGCGGUGGCGUCGGGACGCAGGACCGGGAUGCGGGAGAGAGCCAUAGCACUACACGGGUCCGUCACAGCCCACGGCACUCCAAGGAAUUGUGACCUGGGAAGAUAAAGAGAAGGCUCCACAAGGGAGACACUCCUUUGGAUGGCUGGAAGGUGCCCAAGAUCUGAAGAAGGAGAUUGAGACAUCGUUGUCUAUUAAGAUUUACUCCAGGCCCUGCUUACUGACAGUCCCUCUGGGUGUCCUCAGGACAACACAGUGAUGCUGAGAUAGAAAGGCUUUCCUACAGCAUCGACUCCCAGGUACUGCCAAUUCCCAUCCUCCCUUGCUGUGGUUUGAAACCAGG